UUAAGCGACUAAGCGUACACGGUGGAUGCCCUGGCAGUCAGAGGCGAUGAAGGACGUGCUAAUCUGCGAUAAGCGUCGGUGAGGUGAUAUGAACCGUUAUAACCGGCGAUUUCCGAAUGGGGAAACCCAGUGUGUUUCGACACACUAUCAUUAACUGAAUCCAUAGGUUAAUGAGGCGAACCGGGGGAACUGAAACAUCUAAGUACCCCGAGGAAAAGAAAUCAACCGAGAUUCCCCCAGUAGCGGCGAGCGAACGGGGAGGAGCCCAGAGCCUGAAUCAGUGUGUGUGUUAGUGGAAGCGUCUGGAAAGGCGUGCGAUACAGGGUGACAGCCCCGUACACAAAAAUGCACAUAUUGUGAGCUCGAUGAGUAGGGCGGGACACGUGGUAUCCUGUCUGAAUAUGGGGGGACCAUCCUCCAAGGCUAAAUACUCCUGACUGACCGAUAGUGAACCAGUACCGUGAGGGAAAGGCGAAAAGAACCCCGGCGAGGGGAGUGAAAAAGAACCUGAAACCGUGUACGUACAAGCAGUGGGAGCCUCUUAAUGGGGUGACUGCGUACCUUUUGUAUAAUGGGUCAGCGACUUAUAUUCUGUAGCAAGGUUAACCGAAUAGGGGAGCCGAAGGGAAACCGAGUCUUAACUGGGCGUUAAGUUGCAGGGUAUAGACCCGAAACCCGGUGAUCUAGCCAUGGGCAGGUUGAAGGUUGGGUAACACUAACUGGAGGACCGAACCGACUAAUGUUGAAAAAUUAGCGGAUGACUUGUGGCUGGGGGUGAAAGGCCAAUCAAACCGGGAGAUAGCUGGUUCUCCCCGAAAGCUAUUUAGGUAGCGCCUCGUGAAUUUAUCUCCGGGGGUAGAGCACUGUUUCGGCAAGGGGGUCAUCCCGACUUACCAACCCGAUGCAAACUGCGAAUACCGGAGAAUGUUAUCACGGGAGACACACGGCGGGUGCUAACGUCCGUCGUGAAGAGGGAAACAACCCAGACCGCCAGCUAAGGUCCCAAAGUCAUGGUUAAGUGGGAAACGAUGUGGGAAGGCCCAGACAGCCAGGAUGUUGGCUUAGAAGCAGCCAUCAUUUAAAGAAAGCGUAAUAGCUCACUGGUCGAGUCGGCCUGCGCGGAAGAUGUAACGGGGCUAAACCAUGCACCGAAGCUGCGGCAGCGACACUAUGUGUUGUUGGGUAGGGGAGCGUUCUGUAAGCCUGUGAAGGUGGCCUGUGAGGGUUGCUGGAGGUAUCAGAAGUGCGAAUGCUGACAUAAGUAACGAUAAAGCGGGUGAAAAGCCCGCUCGCCGGAAGACCAAGGGUUCCUGUCCAACGUUAAUCGGGGCAGGGUGAGUCGACCCCUAAGGCGAGGCCGAAAGGCGUAGUCGAUGGGAAACAGGUUAAUAUUCCUGUACUUGGUGUUACUGCGAAGGGGGGACGGAGAAGGCUAUGUUGGCCGGGCGACGGUUGUCCCGGUUUAAGCGUGUAGGCUGGUUUUCCAGGCAAAUCCGGAAAACCAAGGCUGAGGCGUGAUGACGAGGCACUACGGUGCUGAAGUGACAAAUGCCCUGCUUCCAGGAAAAGCCUCUAAGCAUCAGGUAACAUCAAAUCGUACCCAAAACCGACACAGGUGGUCAGGUAGAGAAUACCAAGGCGCUUGAGAGAACUCGGGUGAAGGAACUAGGCAAAAUGGUGCCGUAACUUCGGGAGAAGGCACGCUGAUAUGUAGGUGAAGCGACUCGCUCGUGGAGCUGAAAUCAGUCGAAGAUACCAGCUGGCUGCAACUGUUUAUUAAAAACACAGCACUGUGCAAACACGAAAGUGGACGUAUACGGUGUGACGCCUGCCCGGUGCCGGAAGGUUAAUUGAUGGGGUUAGCGGUAACGCGAAGCUCUUGAUCGAAGCCCCGGUAAACGGCGGCCGUAACUAUAACGGUCCUAAGGUAGCGAAAUUCCUUGUCGGGUAAGUUCCGACCUGCACGAAUGGCGUAAUGAUGGCCAGGCUGUCUCCACCCGAGACUCAGUGAAAUUGAACUCGCUGUGAAGAUGCAGUGUACCCGCGGCAAGACGGAAAGACCCCGUGAACCUUUACUAUAGCUUGACACUGAACAUUGAGCCUUGAUGUGUAGGAUAGGUGGGAGGCUUUGAAGUGUGGACGCCAGUCUGCAUGGAGCCGACCUUGAAAUACCACCCUUUAAUGUUUGAUGUUCUAACGUUGGCCCGUAAUCCGGGUUGCGGACAGUGUCUGGUGGGUAGUUUGACUGGGGCGGUCUCCUCCUAAAGAGUAACGGAGGAGCACGAAGGUUGGCUAAUCCUGGUCGGACAUCAGGAGGUUAGUGCAAUGGCAUAAGCCAGCUUGACUGCGAGCGUGACGGCGCGAGCAGGUGCGAAAGCAGGUCAUAGUGAUCCGGUGGUUCUGAAUGGAAGGGCCAUCGCUCAACGGAUAAAAGGUACUCCGGGGAUAACAGGCUGAUACCGCCCAAGAGUUCAUAUCGACGGCGGUGUUUGGCACCUCGAUGUCGGCUCAUCACAUCCUGGGGCUGAAGUAGGUCCCAAGGGUAUGGCUGUUCGCCAUUUAAAGUGGUACGCGAGCUGGGUUUAGAACGUCGUGAGACAGUUCGGUCCCUAUCUGCCGUGGGCGCUGGAGAACUGAGGGGGGCUGCUCCUAGUACGAGAGGACCGGAGUGGACGCAUCACUGGUGUUCGGGUUGUCAUGCCAAUGGCACUGCCCGGUAGCUAAAUGCGGAAGAGAUAAGUGCUGAAAGCAUCUAAGCACGAAACUUGCCCCGAGAUGAGUUCUCCCUGACUCCUUGAGAGUCCUGAAGGAACGUUGAAGACGACGACGUUGAUAGGCCGGGUGUGUAAGCGCAGCGAUGCGUUGAGCUAACCGGUACUAAUGAACCGUGAGGCUUAACCUU
This 2902-nucleotide ribosomal RNA is filed under the name Escherichia coli HVH 132 (4-6876862). RNAcentral describes it as "bacterial LSU rRNA". It matches the Rfam family "Bacterial large subunit ribosomal RNA". Lineage: Bacteria; Pseudomonadati; Pseudomonadota; Gammaproteobacteria; Enterobacterales; Enterobacteriaceae. The record is from RNAcentral.